GACGAACGCUGGCGGCGUGCUUAACACAUGCAAGUGGAGCGACGAACCGGGGCUUGCCCCGGGGCAAAGCCGCGAACGGGUGAGUAACACGUGGGUAACCCACCUCGAUGACCGGGACAACCCGAGGAAACUCGGGCUAAUACCGGAUGUGUUCCCUUCUCGUGAGAGAUGGGAGGAAAGAUAGCUUCGGCCUUCGCAUCGAGACGGGCCCGCGGCCCAUUAGCUUGUUGGUGGGGUAACGGCCUACCAAGGCUUCGAUGGGUAGCUGGUCUGAGAGGACGAUCAGCCACACUGGGACUGAGACACGGCCCAGACUCCUACGGGAGGCAGCAGUGGGGAAUCUUGCACAAUGCGCGAAAGCGUGAUGCAGCAACGCCGCGUGGGGGAAGAAGGCCUUCGGGUUGUAAACCCCUUUCAGUUGGGACGAAGCUUCGCCGGUGAACAGCCGGCCGGAGUGACGGUACCUUCAGAAGAAGCCCCGGCUAACUACGUGCCAGCAGCCGCAGUAACAC
This 512-nucleotide ribosomal RNA is filed under the name uncultured bacterium. RNAcentral's name for it is "bacterial SSU rRNA". It matches the Rfam family "Bacterial small subunit ribosomal RNA", at positions 28 to 526 of the family's 1533-position model. The record is from RNAcentral.